Molecule: ribosomal RNA, 175 nt
Filed under: uncultured bacterium
Lineage: Bacteria
Description: partial 16S ribosomal RNA
Rfam family: Bacterial small subunit ribosomal RNA
Source: RNAcentral
GGAAUCGCUAGUAAUCGCGGAUCAGAAUGCCGCGGUGAAUACGUUCCCGGGUCUUGUACACACCGCCCGUCACACCAUGGGAGUCGGAAAUGCCCGAAGUCUGUGACCCAACCUGAGAGGGAGGGAGCAGCCGAAGGCAGGUCUGAUGACUGGGGUGAAGUCGUAACAAGGUAUC